Molecule: ribosomal RNA, 253 nt
Filed under: uncultured bacterium
Lineage: Bacteria
Description: partial 16S ribosomal RNA
Rfam family: Bacterial small subunit ribosomal RNA
Source: RNAcentral
UACGAAGGGGGCUAGCGUUGUUCGGAAUUACUGGGCGUAAAGCGUGCGCAGGCGGUUUUCCAAGUCAGUGGUGAAAGCCCGGAGCUCAACUCCGGAAUUGCCAUUGAAACUGUGAAACUUGAGGACGAGAGAGGUGAGUGGAAUUCCCAGUGUAGAGGUGAAAUUCGUAGAUAUUGGGAAGAACACCGGUGGCGAAGGCGGCUCACUGGCUCGUUUCUGACGCUCAGGCACGACAGCGUGGGGAUCAAACAGG